RNAcentral lists this long non-coding RNA (1379 nucleotides) under Taeniopygia guttata (zebra finch). Its description in RNAcentral is "lncRNA (ENSTGUG00000022672.1)". Lineage: Eukaryota; Metazoa; Chordata; Aves; Passeriformes; Estrildidae. The record is from RNAcentral.
UGGGCUGGAAUUUGGCCAUUUGGGGGUGAAAUUGGGGAAUUUUCGGGUGAAAUUCAGAAAUUUGGGGAUGAAAUUUGGGGAUUUUGGGAUGAAAUUUGGGGAUUUUGGGGGUGAAAUUUGGGGAUUUUUGGUGGAAUUUGAAGAUUUUGGGGUGAAAUUCAGGGAAUUGGGAUGAAAUGUGGAGAUUUUGAGGUGAAAUGUGGAGAUUUUUGGGGUGACAUUUGGAGAUUUUAGGGUGAAAUUCGGGGAUUUGGGGUGAAAUUUUGGGAUUUUGGGGUGAAAUUUUGGAAUUUUGGGGUGACAUUUUUGGGAUUUUGGGAGAAAUUUGCGGAUUUUAGGUCAAAAUUGGCGGAUUUUGCUCCAAGCACAAAGACACGAAGCCCCCGAGGGUCGUUUUUAAUCCUUUGGGGAGGGGUUUGAAGCCACAGAGGUGCCCCAGAUGCCACCAAGGUGUCCCCAGAUGUCCCCAGGUGCCACCCAGAUGUCCCCAGAUGCCACCCAGGUGUCCCCAGGCACCCCCGAGUGCCACCAAUGUGUCCCCAGAAGCUACCAGGUGUCCCCAGAUGCCACUUGGAUGUCCCCAGGUGCCACCCAGAUGUCCCCAGAUGCCACUCGGAUGUCCUCAAGUGCCACCAAGGUGUCCCCAGAUGCCACCCAGGUGUCCCCAGAUGCCACUUGGAUGUCCCCAAGUGCCACCAAGGUGUCCUUAAGUGUUCCCAGGUGUCCCCAGAUGCCACCCAGGUGUCCCCAGAUGCCACCCAGGUGUCCCCAAGUGCCACCAAGGUGUCCCCAGAUGUCCCCAGACGCCACCCAGGUGUCCCCAAGUGUCCCCAGGUGUCCCCAAGUGCCACCAACCCCCCCAAAAUCCGCCUUUCUUGGGUUUCCCGAGGUGGCAGCUGGGGCGGUGCCACCCCCGAAGUGCCACCGGCCGUCCCCCGCGGUGUCACCCGCGGUGUCACUCGGGCCUCAGCCAUGUCCCCUGCUCCUCCACCUCCGGGGCCACCACCAGGAGCAGCUCCGACGUGUCCGGGGCCAGCGCUGUCCUCAGGAACUCCCUGGGGACAGAGGGGACAGUGAGGGGACAAUGAGGGGACAGUGAGGGGACAAUGAGGGGACAGAGAGGGGACAGAGAGGGGACAGAGAGGGGACAGCGAGGGGACAGAGAGGGGACAGUGAGGGGACAGUGAGGGGACAGUGAGGGGACAGAGAGGGGACAGUGAGGGGACAGUGAGGGGACAGUGAGGGGACAUUGAGGGGACAGUGAGGGGACAAUGAGGGGACAGUGAGGGGACAGUGAGGGGACAAUGAGGGGACAGUGAGGGGACAAUGAGGGGACAAUGAGGGGACAGUGAGGGGACAAUGAGGGGACAGUGAGGGGA